GCCAGGCACGGUGGCUCAUGCCUGUAAUCCCAGCACUUUGGGAGGCUGAGGCGGGUGGAUCACCUGAGGUCAGGAGUUCCAGACCAGCCUGGCCAACAGGGUGAAACCCCGUCUCUA
Molecule: non-coding RNA, 117 nt
Filed under: Pan troglodytes (chimpanzee)
Lineage: Eukaryota; Metazoa; Chordata; Mammalia; Primates; Hominidae
Source: Rfam by way of RNAcentral